Molecule: long non-coding RNA, 226 nt
Organism: Carassius auratus (goldfish)
Lineage: Eukaryota; Metazoa; Chordata; Actinopteri; Cypriniformes; Cyprinidae
Exons: 4
Source: RefSeq, a predicted model, not a curated record
CGACCAGUGGUUGCUGGCAUUCCAGGGGGCAGUUCAUCACACAUACUAUGCACCACAAGUGAUGGUGAAAAAAGGAUACUGAUGGACGGAUUGUAUUAUUGGACUCUCCAGAAAGAACACAGUCUGUCACAGUUGAUGAAGAUGAUGAUGACGAUGAAGAGACCACAUCUGCUGUGACAGAAGUGGACAAUGCUGGUAGAUCCACUGAGUACAUACCUAGGGAUUU